CGGGACGGGUGAGCAAUGUCUGGGAAACUGCCUGAUGGAGGGGGAUAACUACUGGAAACGGUAGCUAAUACCGCAUAACGUCGCAAGACCAAAGAGGGGGACCUUCGGGCCUCUUGCCAUCGGAUGUGCCCAGAUGGGAUUAGCUAGUAGGUGGGGUAAAGGCUCACCUAGGCGACGAUCCCUAGCUGGUCUGAGAGGAUGACCAGCCACACUGGAACUGAGACACGGUCCAG
This 233-nucleotide ribosomal RNA is filed under the name uncultured bacterium. RNAcentral describes it as "partial 16S ribosomal RNA". It matches the Rfam family "Bacterial small subunit ribosomal RNA", at positions 100 to 334 of the family's 1533-position model. The record is from RNAcentral.